CGGGCUGUAGUACAACGGUAGUACGUACCCUUGGGGUGGGUAUGACCCGGGUUCAAUUCCCGGCAGCCCGACCA
RNAcentral lists this transfer RNA (74 nucleotides) under Patescibacteria group bacterium. RNAcentral describes it as "tRNA-Pro". It matches the Rfam family "tRNA". From Rfam's summary of the family: Transfer RNA (tRNA) molecules are approximately 80 nucleotides in length. Their secondary structure includes four short double-helical elements and three loops (D, anti-codon, and T loops). The record is from RNAcentral.